UUUUACCUUCUUUAUGUGCUGUACCUUUAAGAAAUCAAAAACGCGAACGGACUACGGCAACCCCACUAGGCCAUUGAAGGGAGGCGUGACUUCCUGAUAGGAAGAACCGGGAAGAUUCACAGGAAAAGCGAGGUUGGGGGGUUAAUGGUUUAAAAACCCUGUUAUAACACUCGAGUGAGCAAUAUGGAGUUUGAUUGGUCUACCGUGUAUUGGAGACUGGAGAAACGUGGGUGAUAGUUGCUAGUAACGAAACCUGUCCACUGCCGUAUUUUGGGGGUUUAUUGGUACUGUAACGUGUCGAAUCCAUUGUUUGCACUGUAACGUAUGGGAUGUGGUUUAU
Neoarius graeffei (lesser salmon catfish) is the source of this 340-nucleotide long non-coding RNA. RefSeq lists it as uncharacterized. Lineage: Eukaryota; Metazoa; Chordata; Actinopteri; Siluriformes; Ariidae. The transcript has 3 exons. The record is from RefSeq and is a predicted model, not a curated record.